GACGAACGCUGGCGGCGUGCUUAACACAUGCAAGUCGAACGGAAAGGCCCUGCUUUUGUGGGGUGCUCGAGUGGCGAACGGGUGAGUAACACGUGAGUAACCUGCCCUUGACUCUGGGAUAACUUCAGGAAACUGGGGCUAAUACCGGAUAGGAGCUCCUGCUGCAUGGUGGGGGUUGGAAAGUUUCGGCGGUUGGGGAUGGACUCGCGGCUUAUCAGCCUGUUGGUGGGGUAGUGGCUUACCAAGGCUUCGACGGGUAGCCGGCCUGAGAGGGUGAACGGCCACAUUGGGACUGAGAUACGGCCCAGACUCCUACGAGAGUCAGCAGUGGGGAAUAUUGCACAGUGGGCGGAAGCCGUAUGCAGCAACGCCGCGUGCGGUAUGACGGCCCUCGGGUUGUAAACCGCUUUCGCCUGUGACGAAGCGUGAGUGACGGUAAUGGGUAAAGAAGCACCGGCUAACUACGUG
This 468-nucleotide ribosomal RNA is filed under the name uncultured bacterium. RNAcentral describes it as "partial 16S ribosomal RNA". It matches the Rfam family "Bacterial small subunit ribosomal RNA", at positions 28 to 507 of the family's 1533-position model. The record is from RNAcentral.